ACAGAGCUGUUGGCGGUGCGGUUUUCGGGAGAGAACUACUCUACCGCUGACGCUCAUCGCUAGACCACAUUCCUCUGCAAAAAAUCCAAACCAGAGCUUCUUCUAAUUGUGAGUCUGGGAAUUUCGCCUUCAUCGCGCGUGGCAUAGCGGCGCUCCAAGCAAUUUUCUAAAUUUCCAACCAACAAGAAUUGGAUUUUGCAUCAACAUUUUCUUGGAUUUUUUUAUCAGGUUAUUUGUGCCGUUGUUGCUGUUGCUGUUUGCUGAGGAGACUUAGACCGGAAAAGCGGCGAGUUUGUUGACAUGUUUAUGCUUCCACUUUUAAUGACUUUCGCAUCGCUUUGAGGCCAAAGGUAAUUCUCGACUCAGCAACGUCAAAAAAUCCAAAAAACUACAACAACAGCACAGCCAGAUACUCGCUCCCAUAUUACGUCAUUCGAAUGGAAUGGAAUCAACCUUGAAACGUUAGGCUGCAAAUGGGGAUGGGACUGGGACUGGGCCUGGGCCUGGGCAUGGAAAUGGGCGU
Molecule: long non-coding RNA, 523 nt
Organism: Stomoxys calcitrans (stable fly)
Lineage: Eukaryota; Metazoa; Arthropoda; Insecta; Diptera; Muscidae
Exons: 3
Source: RefSeq, a predicted model, not a curated record